RNAcentral lists this ribosomal RNA (623 nucleotides) under Scedosporium sp. Its description in RNAcentral is "LSU rRNA". It matches the Rfam family "Eukaryotic large subunit ribosomal RNA", at positions 71 to 713 of the family's 3401-position model. Lineage: Eukaryota; Fungi; Ascomycota; Sordariomycetes; Microascales; Microascaceae. The record is from RNAcentral.
GGAAUUGCCUCAGUAACGGCGAGUGAAGCGGCAACAGCUCAAAUUUGAAAUCUGGCGGCCUCUGGGCCGUCCGAGUUGUAAUUUGAAGAGGAUGCUUUUGGCGAGGCGCCUUCCGAGUGCCCUGGAACGGGACGCCACAGAGGGUGAGAGCCCCGUAUGGUUGGACGCCGAGCCUCUGUAAAGCUCCUUCGACGAGUCGAGUAGUUUGGGAAUGCUGCUCAAAAUGGGAGGUAAACCCCUUCUAAAGCUAAAUACUGGCCAGAGACCGAUAGCGCACAAGUAGAGUGAUCGAAAGAUGAAAAGCACUUUGAAAAGAGAGUUAAAUAGCACGUGAAAUUGUUGAAAGGGAAGCGCUUGCGACCAGACUUGUGCCCGUCGAAUCAGCCGCCGCUCGCCGGCGGCGCACUUCGGCGGGCUCAGGCCAGCAUCAGUUCGCUGCAGGGGGAGAAAGGCGGCGGGAAUGUGGCUCUUCGGAGUGUUAUAGCCCGCCGCGCAAUACCCCUCGGCGGACUGAGGACCGCGCAUCUGCAAGGAUGCUGGCGUAAUGGUCGUCAGCGACCCGUCUUGAAACACGGACCAAGGAGUCGUCCUAAUAUGCGAGUGUUCGGCUGUCAAACCCCUGC